This 206-nucleotide ribosomal RNA is filed under the name uncultured bacterium. RNAcentral's name for it is "partial 16S ribosomal RNA". It matches the Rfam family "Bacterial small subunit ribosomal RNA", at positions 568 to 774 of the family's 1533-position model. The record is from RNAcentral.
CGCGCAGGCGGAUUAGCAAGUCAGAGGUGAAAUCCUACAGCUUAACUGUAGAACUGCCUUUGAAACUGUUAAUCUUGAGUACGGAAGAGAGAAGCGGAAUUCCAGGUGUAGUGGUGAAAUACGUAGAUAUCUGGAAGAACACCAGUUGCGAAGGCGGCUUCUUGGUCCGUUACUGACGCUGAGGCGCGAAAGCGUGGGAGCAAACA